RNAcentral lists this ribosomal RNA (1452 nucleotides) under Triticum aestivum (bread wheat). Its description in RNAcentral is "partial small subunit ribosomal RNA". The record is from RNAcentral. Lineage: Eukaryota; Viridiplantae; Streptophyta; Magnoliopsida; Poales; Poaceae.
AUGGAGACUAAAUUGGUACAGGACAAACCAAGUCCAAGAAAUAAGCAGCAAAACUACCAAGAUGCCAUGGCGAUUUGUCGUUGGUCUGGCUAUCCUGAUCUCUUCAUUACUUUUACAUGCAAUCCAAAAUGGCUGGAAAUACAAGAUAUGUUGGAUCUGAUUCCAGGCCAGAAACCUGAAGAUCGUCCAGAUAUUGUUGCCAGAGUAUUCAUGUUAAAACUGAAGGAACUUAUGAAUGACAUAAAGAACGGAAAGUGUUUUGGACAAACAAUUGCAAUUUCCAACCAAAUGGACUUGGCAUGCACAAGAGAAAGAAUGGAAGAAAAGGCGUGGUGGAAAAAAACCAUAGGCAGGAUUUACUAUGCACAACCAACGAGCGGUGAAAAAUACUACUUGAGAAUGCUGUUAAAUACCGUCAAAGGAUGCAGAUCAUAUGAAGAAAUUCGAACAGUUGAUGGGUUUGUACAUCCAACAUUCAAAUCCGCAUGUUAUGCUCUUAGGCUACUUAAUGACGACAAAGAGUGGGAUGACUGCAUCAAGGAAGCAUCCCAUUGGGCCUCUGCUCCUCAAAUGCGCCAACUUUUCUGCACAAUACUUUUAUUUUGUGAGGUGACGGAUCCCGCAAAGUUGUGGCAAACAAAUUGGGAGUUACUAUCUGAGGAUAUCCAACGUCAACAAAGAAGAAUAUUCAAUUUUCAGGCCCUGGAACUCAACUCGGCACAAAUAAAGAGCCUGCUCCUGGCAGAGAUAGAACAACUAUUGACUAAAGGUGGUAAGUCCCUCAACGAUUUUCCAGGAAUGCCACUACCAGAUAGUUCAGUUCUUCAAGAUCUAAAUAAUAGAUUAGUAAAUGAGGAACUAAACUAUGAUAAAGAUUCUUUAAGAAUAGAGCACAUGAAGUUACUUCGUAAGCUAAAUCAGGAUCAGAGGAUGGCUUUUGAUGUUAUAAUAGAAUCAGUCAAUGACAGUCUUGGAAAGUUGAUUUUUGUUGACCGAUAUGGUGGAACUGGAAAGACAUUUUUGUGGAAAGCAGUCACCACAAAAUUAAGAUCUGAAGGAAAAAUAGUUCUAGCGGUUGCUUCAAGUGGUAUAGCAGCAGUUCUUUUACAGGGUGGAAGAACAACUCAUUCAAGAUUUCACAUUCCCCUCAAGAUCACUAAUGAGUCCACAUGCAACAUCAAGCAAGGAACAUUUCUUGCGGAGCUAAUAAAGAAAACAUCACUGAUAAUAUGGGAUGAAGCACCUAUGACACACAAGCACUGUUUUCAGGCACUAGAUAAGAGUUUGAGGGACAUACUUCGAUUCACAUAUGAGGACGCAGAGCAUAGACCAUUUGGAGGAAUGACAGUAGUCUUGGGAGGUGACUUCAGGCAAAUCCUACCAGUUAUACCGAAGGGGAAAAGGGAACAUAUCAUUUCUGCAUCAAUAAAGAGAUCCUACCUAUGCGUCUGA